Long non-coding RNA from Musa acuminata AAA Group (dessert banana), 2457 nucleotides. RefSeq lists it as uncharacterized. The record is from RefSeq and is a predicted model, not a curated record. The transcript has 2 exons. Lineage: Eukaryota; Viridiplantae; Streptophyta; Magnoliopsida; Zingiberales; Musaceae.
UAUAAUUAUUUUCAAUUUAAAUAUAGUUAUUAGCAAGGUUUAGUCCCACAUCGUAAUUAAUUUCAAUGUAACAUCCCUUUAUCAAUCCGUCGAUCGGCGACACUGUUGUCUCUUCGGAGACAUCCGAUAAAAUUGGAACGAUACAGAGAAGAUUAGCAUGGCCCCUGCGAAAGGAUGACACGCACAAAUCGAGAAAUGGUCCAAAUUUUUUUUCCGAUUCGCGUUCUCUUGUUCUCCAUUUGAUUUCCUAUCCUUUUGCUCUUCUCUGAUUUGAUUUCCCAGCCUCCCCUCUUCUGAUUCGGUUUUUGUUUUUGGUUUCUUUCUUAUUGGCUGGUUCUUUAUGAUUUAGGGUUUUGUGCUCCGUUUUUUCCCAUUCGUGUCCUAUUCCGACUCGCUUUCAUUUUUUGUUUCUUAUUGGCUGUUAAUCUGGUUCUUUAGGAUUUAGGGUUCUGUGCUCCUUUUUCUCCCAUUUGUGUUCUUAUUUUGGUUUGUUUUCCAUUUCUUUUUCUUUUUUUCUGCUGAAUUUUUUUCUCGCUCUCAGUACUGUUUUGUCUCCUUUGUGGUUUUUAAUCAAGUUCUCGUUUCUAUUUCUCUCUCUCGAUUUGUUUUGAUUCUUCUCCGGUUCUGGAAACCAGAGGACAUGGAUGGAUGGACUUCUGAGUUCGCUUCGCUUUAGAUCACAGCACCAUUCUUUACUCGCAUAAUGAGCAACGUUAUCAGUUACGGCGCCGGCUGAAUUGUUUUUUAUGUUAUCGACGGAUACUCUACUCUUCUUCUUGACUUGUUCGACUUGCGCACUCCCAUGAAUACUUGCUUCUGGUCGAAGACGGCGUUAUGUGUUGAUGGUAUUCGGACCUCUGAUUAACAUUGUAAGAUUUGGUUCCUUCGCUUUCCUUUUACUUCAAAGUUAUACAGACAUGAUUCGUUUUUGCGUCUAACCAUGUCUGGAUUGGCCAUCUCCUUCCAAACAUAUAUGAUUGUGUCGUCUUUACAAGCAAAGAAAAAAAAAAAAUGUAUAUGUUGUCGAGACUGCCGAGCAUAACAUGAUAUAUGCAUAAACGACAAGUUCUGGAUGAUUUUAUCUUUAGAAAACCUUUAAUGAUCUUGCAUGGAUAUUUUCUUUCUUGUAAAGUAGAAACCCAUUUUUUUGAAGACUUAGAUGAAUCAUACACCUUAAGGUUUCCUUUCUGUAGCAGACAAGUAUUGAAUGACUGGCAUCAUAAUUAUGUGUGUUUGUAUAUAUGAUGAAGACCUGAAUUAGUUGCUUCUGACUUGGCACUGGCUACACAAAUAACUGUAAAAAUGUCUAGUGUUCCUUUAUUUUCAUUUACUAAUGUAUUUUUUUUUUUUUUUUCGAUUUGAAGUAUCACCGAUAUCUUAACAUGUGAAAUUCUUGUGUAUGGCCCGACUCCCAUUUCUAACAACACCAUAUCUCUGUCCUCACCAAUAUUGGCUCUGCUGUUGCCUAUUAGAGAGGUAGCAGGUUCAGCACCAAGAAAUGGUUUCCAUCUGUGUGCCAUUGACAACCUAGAAACUUCAACUCAUAGGAUGAAGAUGAAGCAUGACACGAGUGCCAUGCCCUUAACGAUCCAUCAUGAACUGAAAGGACGUGAUAGCUUUUAACGAUCUGAUGGUCUUGAUACAUGUGAAUUAGUUGCUCACAGCAUUGUAUGUCAACGGAAGAAAGUUGAAGAGCGAAAAGAAGGCGGUUUGAUCUAUUCCAUUGUCCAAUGAUUUCAAAAUCAAGGAAGGUGCUUAGAUAAAUCUUGCUGCAUGCAACCAGUGUAGGUGUUGCGCUAUCUUCUGCCACCACAAUGUCAGGACAGGCCAGUAAACAGAGCACUAGGUCGGCACAAGCUUCUAGUGGUCGGUCAUCUCUGUUCCCUCGGUGUCUUGGCACUAGGACAUGCCAAUGACACUCUGGGCUAUAUAACACACUAUGCUGCUCAGAUUCAGCAACUUUAUACAUAAGGUAUCACAGCAUCAUUAGCACACUUUGCUGGAUUGUUACUUGAUAAUCGUAAGAAGUAGGAUCUUUUUUCAUCAUCAUGUUAUUUUUGCAGUUCAGUCCAUGGAUUGCUUCAUGACUACAUCCAUUUUAACCAUGAUCUUUCACUGUAUUUAGCUUAUGCCAAUCCUGACUAUCACAUAUCAGAGGUCUAUGAUUUGAUCACAUAGCCAGAAGAGCCUCUCAUCUUAUACGUAUGAAAUGCCAGCACACUUGUACCGACCAUGCAGUGUCGUGCAUGUCGAAGAGCACUAAUUGCAUCAUUUGAUGCUGAAAUUACACUCAAUAUUGGUUGCGAAACAUACGAGGCAAAACUCUGUGCUACAGCAUAUCGACUGUUAUUACUGUCAAGUGAUUGGCAGGUAUUCUUAUUUUUCCAAAAGAAAUUAUUGUGUUUCAUAUUUUGAAUCUUCUAAAUAAAUUUACGAGGUUUAUCCAUAGUAUAACAA